RNAcentral lists this ribosomal RNA (428 nucleotides) under uncultured bacterium. Its description in RNAcentral is "bacterial SSU rRNA". It matches the Rfam family "Bacterial small subunit ribosomal RNA", at positions 29 to 460 of the family's 1533-position model. The record is from RNAcentral.
AUUAAACGCUGGCGGCAUGCCUUACACAUGCAAGUCGAACGGCAGCACGGGGGCAACCCUGGUGGCGAGUGGCGAACGGGUGAGUAAAGCAUCGGAACGUGCCCUGGAGUGGGGGAUAACGUAGCGAAAGUUACGCUAAUACCGCAUAUUCUGUGAGCAGGAAAGCAGGGGAUCGCAAGACCUUGCGCUCUGGGAGCGGCCGAUGUCGGAUUAGCUAGUUGGUGGGGUAAAGGCCUACCAAGGCGACGAUCCGUAGCGGGUCUGAGAGGAUGAUCCGCCACACUGGGACUGAGACACGGCCCAGACUCCUACGGGAGGCAGCAGUGGGGAAUUUUGGACAAUGGGCGAAAGCCUGAUCCAGCCAUGCCGCGUGAGUGAAGAAGGCCUCGGUUGUAAGACGUCUUUCGGUCCGGGGAACGGAAAGUACG